UACAGAGGUGGCAAGCGUUGUUCGGAAUUACUGGGCGUAAAGGGCGCGUAGGCGGCCAUCUAAGUCAGACGUGAAAUCCCCCGGCUUAACCUGGGAACUGCGUCUGAUACUGGAAGGCUUGAGUAUGGGAGAGGGAUGUAGAAUUCCAGGUGUAGCGGUGAAAUGCGUAGAUAUCUGGAGGAACACCGGUGGCGAAGGCGGCAUCCUGGACCAACACUGACGCUGAGUGAGCGAAAGCCAGGGGAGCAAACGGG
This 254-nucleotide ribosomal RNA is filed under the name uncultured bacterium. RNAcentral's name for it is "partial 16S ribosomal RNA". It matches the Rfam family "Bacterial small subunit ribosomal RNA", at positions 524 to 776 of the family's 1533-position model. The record is from RNAcentral.